GACGGAGGGUGCAAGCGUUGUUCGGAAUCACUGGGCGUAAAGCGCGUGUAGGCGGUUUGAUUAGUCGAAUGUGAAAGCCCGAGGCUCAACCUCGGAAGUGCAUUCGAAACUGUCAGGCUCGAGUACGGGAGAGGGAAGUGGAAUUCCUGGUGUAGAGGUGAAAUUCGUAGAUAUCAGGAGGAACACCGGUGGCGAAGGCGGCUUCCUGGACCGAUACUGACGCUGAGACGCGAAAGCGUGGGGAGCAAACAGG
This 253-nucleotide ribosomal RNA is filed under the name uncultured bacterium. Its description in RNAcentral is "partial 16S ribosomal RNA". It matches the Rfam family "Bacterial small subunit ribosomal RNA", at positions 524 to 776 of the family's 1533-position model. The record is from RNAcentral.